AGCCAAAGACGGGUAGCGGGUGUGAGAGCACGGCCCGCCGCAUCGGGACUGAGACACUGUCCGGACUCCUACGGGAGUGCUUGCAGUAACGAAUAUUCCGCAAUGCGCGAAAUCGUGACGGAGCAAUGCCGCGUGCAGGAUGAAGCCCCUCGGGGUGUAAACUGCUGUCAGUGAGUCAGCAACCCAAUGAGCAACUCCAGAGGAAGGACCGGCUAACUUCGUGCCAGCAGCCGCUGUGUAAUACGAAGGGUCCAAGCGUUAAUCGGAAUCACUGGGCUUAGAGGGUGCGUAGGCGGACUGGCCAGUGCCUUGUGAAAUCCCACGGCUCAACCGUGGAAUUGCUCGGCAUACUGCCAGUCUUGAGGUCGGUAGAGGGUGCCGGAACUCUAGGUGGAGCGGUGAAAUGCGUAGAUAUCUAGAGGAACGUCUAAGGCGAAGGCAGGCACCUGGUCCGAUUCUGACGCUGAGGCACGAAAGCGUGGGGAGCGAACGGGAUUAGAUACCCCGGUAGUCCACGCCCUAAACUAUGUGCACUAGAUUGUGGGGCUUUUGACGCCCGCACAAUCGAAGCUAAAGUGAUUAGUGCACCGCCUGGGGAGUACGGUCGCAAGCCUUAAACUCAAAGGAAUUGACGGGGGCUCACACAAGCGGUGGAGCAUGUGGCUUAAUUCGAAGCUACGCGAAGAACCGUUAUCCAGGGUUUGACAUGUACGGAUUAGCUCGGCGAAAAUCGAGUGACGC
RNAcentral lists this ribosomal RNA (741 nucleotides) under uncultured organism. Its description in RNAcentral is "bacterial SSU rRNA". It matches the Rfam family "Bacterial small subunit ribosomal RNA", at positions 271 to 1018 of the family's 1533-position model. The record is from RNAcentral.